RNAcentral lists this transfer RNA (73 nucleotides) under Ictidomys tridecemlineatus (thirteen-lined ground squirrel). RNAcentral describes it as "Spermophilus tridecemlineatus (thirteen-lined ground squirrel) tRNA". It matches the Rfam family "tRNA". Rfam says of the family: Transfer RNA (tRNA) molecules are approximately 80 nucleotides in length. The record is from Rfam by way of RNAcentral. Lineage: Eukaryota; Metazoa; Chordata; Mammalia; Rodentia; Sciuridae.
GGGGAUAUAGCUCAGUUGGUAGAGUGCUUGCCUAGUAUGCAGAAUUCCUUAGGUUCAAUCCUCAGUACCACCA